This is a long non-coding RNA of Struthio camelus australis, 1626 nucleotides long. The record is from Ensembl. NCBI's taxonomy places the organism in Eukaryota, Metazoa, Chordata, Aves, Struthioniformes, Struthionidae.
CCUUCUGCCCAGCCAUUCACGCCUCUCACUGUUUCUCUUUCUCCCUCCCGCCGUGUUUAUAAAGCACGCAUCGCUUCGGUUCCUGAGUGACUCAACCCCGACACCGGUUUUUUAAAACUUGAGGCUUGGAAGGGAGGCCACCCGCUCGCCGCCUCAGCUGCCGGCUGUUUUCAGGGUAAACGCUAACGGGAAGCUCUGAGAAAACUAGAAAGCAGCUGCGUCGUUGUCGCUGGCGGGGGCCCCCUCACCCUGGAGGCAAGCUCUUACGUAAUUGCGGCAUGAACUCCCGCUUUCCGAAGAUCUGGUUAUGCCAAAAAAAAAAAAGGCGGAGGGGGUGUCCAAAAAAAAAAAAAAGGGAAAAAAAAAGCAACCAAGAAAAAGUCCUCACUCACCCACUGACAUGUUUCUCUGGACAGGAUCGAGCAGGUGGGGUGGCAGCGCCAGGCAGAAGAGGAGUUCAUCUUCCCCCGCUCGCCCUCACCAGGCGGCUCUGGCACCAGGAGCUGAUGCCUGCUGACUCCCCGUGGCUGCGUUGGUCCCCGAAGAGGCAGCCUUUGGGGUUAGAAGCACUUUAAAAUCACACAGAAAUCUGCAUCCACGGCUUGAACGCUUACUGUCUUAUGUCUUUCAUGCUAUUGUCUCUUACACUUUUAAUAAUGUCUGUUCCUCUUUUCCGCUGAUCCUUGCACCUUGUACUCCAGCAAAGUCUGCAUGGACUUACCUCCGUUCCCACUUGGCUCUGGGAUUUCUUGAAUCAUAACACAAUUCAACCUUCCAGUUCACCAGAUUCAGAAGGCUCGUUAAUUUCCUGUGAGAUUUAGAUGCCUAUAUCUCUAAAUAUUUUAAAAAAAUAUGUUGUAACCCAAGAUUGUUACCACUACAGUCCUACGUCCCAUUUCUUCUCACUGAAAGUUUGGCUUCUGAAUUUCAUAGGUCAUUUCUGAAAAUGGGAGCAAAAUUGCUUUAAUUGCUAUUGCAAGUUGUAUUUUUUGUCAUUACAGAUAUUAGGAAGCAGAUUGGUCUAGCAGAAGCCACCGGUUCUGAAGCGUACUCUUUAUUUUUGCAAAUUUAAAUUAACAUAUUCUAUACGAUAAUGUGCAUCAUUAUUGUUUGACAAUGUAAUAAGAACUACAAAGGCAGGAGAGAAAAUCUGCCCUUGGAUAUUUGUAGACUUCACAAAUUACAGCUGGGUGAAUUUUUUGAAACAUACUACAAUUCAAAAAACCAAUGACAUAUUAGUGACCCCCAAACUGUUCUGUUUCACUAGAAAAUAAUUUCACUAAAAAGUGGAAGCUGUUUCUAGGAAAAGUCAAAAUCCUUCUAAACAAGUUCUACUUUGAAUUUACCAAAACAAAAUGUUGUGCAUUUUCACUUCAAGAUGGUGUUUUCAUGUUGAAAUUAAUCAAUUCUUUAAGAGAGAAAAGCGAUUAGUCAUCUUGAAACAUUUAAUUUCAGAUAAAAACAAAAUGCUUUCUCUUGACUUCAUAGAAACAGGUUUUCAGAUGUUCGGUUCAGCCAUGGAAAGAGCUCCGCAUGCAGCUCUGUUGUAGGAUGUUUCAAUGUGAGCUGCAAUCUUGCAUCUGACAAGGGAAUUCAGGUAUAUAUUUAACUAGACAGAGGGACAGU